CGCUGAGAAGCUAAACAGUUAGAAGCGCUAGCCUUUUAAGCUAGAGAGUGGUAAGCAACAUCUACCCUUAGCGA
Molecule: transfer RNA, 74 nt
Filed under: Cyclopsetta fimbriata (spotfin flounder)
Lineage: Eukaryota; Metazoa; Chordata; Actinopteri; Pleuronectiformes; Cyclopsettidae
Description: tRNA-Lys
Rfam family: tRNA
About the family: Transfer RNA (tRNA) molecules are approximately 80 nucleotides in length. Their secondary structure includes four short double-helical elements and three loops (D, anti-codon, and T loops).
Source: RNAcentral